RNAcentral lists this ribosomal RNA (586 nucleotides) under uncultured bacterium. RNAcentral's name for it is "bacterial SSU rRNA". It matches the Rfam family "Bacterial small subunit ribosomal RNA", at positions 224 to 801 of the family's 1533-position model. The record is from RNAcentral.
GAUGGACCCGCGGUGCAUUAGCUAGUUGGUGAGGUAACGGCUCACCAAGGCAACGAUGCAUAGCCGACCUGAGAGGGUGAUCGGCCACAUUGGGACUGAGACACGGCCCAAACUCCUACGGGAGGCAGCAGUAGGGAAUCUUCGGCAAUGGACGAAAGUCUGACCGAGCAACGCCGCGUGAGUGAAGAAGGUUUUCGGAUCGUAAAACUCUGUUGUUAGAGAAGAACAAGGAUGAGAGUAAAAUGUUCAUCCCUUGACGGUAUCUAACCAGAAAGCCACGGCUAACUACGUGCCAGCAGCCGCGGUAAUACGUAGGUGGCAAGCGUUGUCCGGAUUUAUUGGGCGUAAAGCGAGCGCAGGCGGUUUCUUAAGUCUGAUGUGAAAGCCCCCGGCUCAACCGGGGAGGGUCAUUGGAAACUGGGAAACUUGAGUGCAGAAGAGGAGAGUGGAAUUCCAUGUGUAGCGGUGAAAUGCGUAGAUAUAUGGAGGAACACCAGUGGCGAAGGCGGCUCUCUGGUCCGUAACUGACGCUGAGGCUCGAAAGCGUGGGGAGCAAACAGGAUUAGAUACCCUGGUAGUCCACGCC